Molecule: ribosomal RNA, 254 nt
Filed under: uncultured bacterium
Lineage: Bacteria
Description: partial 16S ribosomal RNA
Rfam family: Bacterial small subunit ribosomal RNA
Source: RNAcentral
UACGUAGGUGGCGAGCGUUGUCCGGAUUUACUGGGCGUAAAGAGCGCGCAGGCGGCUGGUCAAGUCCGAUGUGAAAGCUCCCGGCUUAACUGGGAAAUUGCAUCGGAAACUGAUCGGCUGGAAGGUGGGAGAGGGUAGCGGAAGUUCCCGGUGUAGUGGUGAAAUGCGUAGAUAUCGGGAGGAACACCAGUGGCGAAAGCGGCUACCUGGCCCAUUCUUGACGCUGAGGCGCGAAAGCUAGGGGAGCAAACGGG